GACGAACGCUGGCGGCGUGCUUAACACAUGCAAGUCGAACGCAAAGGCCCUGCUUUUGUGGGGUGCUCGAGUGGCGAACGGGUGAGUAACACGUGAGUAACCUGCCCUUGACUUUGGGAUAACUUCAGGAAACUGGGGCUAAUACCGGAUAGGAGCUCCUGCUGCAUGGUGGGGGUUGGAAAGUUUCGGCGGUUGGGGAUGGACUCGCGGCUUAUCAGCUUGUUGGUGGGGUAGUGGCUUACCAAGGCUUUGACGGGUAGCCGGCCUGAGAGGGUGACCGGCCACAUUGGGACUGAGAUACGGCCCAGACUCCUACGGGAGGCAGCAGGGGGGAAUAUGGCACAAUGGGCGGAAGCCUGAUGCAGCAACGCCGCGUGCGGGAUGACGGCCUUCGGGUUGUAAACCGCUUUCGCCUGUGACGAAGCGUGAGUGACGGUAAUGGGUAAAGAAGCACCGGCUAACUACGUG
RNAcentral lists this ribosomal RNA (468 nucleotides) under uncultured bacterium. RNAcentral's name for it is "partial 16S ribosomal RNA". It matches the Rfam family "Bacterial small subunit ribosomal RNA", at positions 28 to 507 of the family's 1533-position model. The record is from RNAcentral.